GGGCCCGCACAAGCGGUGGAGCAUGUGGUUUAAUUCGAUGCAACGCGAAGAACCUUACCAGCUCUUGACAUUCUGUGAACUUUCUAGAGAUAGAUCGGUGCCUUCGGGAACACAGUAACAGGUGGUGCAUGGCUGUCGUCAGCUCGUGUCGUGAGAUGUUGGGUUAAGUCCCGCAACGAGCGCAACCCACGUCGUUAGUUGCCAGCAUUUAGUUGGGCACUCUAGCGAGACCGCCGGUGAUAAACCGGAGGAAGGUGUGGAUGACGUCAAGUCAUCAUGCCCCUUACAUCCUGGGCUACACACGUACUACAAUGCUACGGACAAAGGGCAGCAAACUCGCGAGAGCUAGCA
This 351-nucleotide ribosomal RNA is filed under the name uncultured bacterium. RNAcentral describes it as "bacterial SSU rRNA". It matches the Rfam family "Bacterial small subunit ribosomal RNA", at positions 917 to 1269 of the family's 1533-position model. The record is from RNAcentral.